AGUGAACGCUGGCGGUAGGCCUAGCACAUGCAAGCCGAACGGCAGCACAGUAAGAGCUUGCUCUUACGGGUGGCGAGUGGCGGACGGGUGAGGAAUACAUCGGAAUCUACUUUUUCGUGGGGGAUAACGUAGGGAAACUUACGCUAAUACCGCAUACGACCUACGGGUGAAAGCAGGGGAUCUUCGGACCUUGCGCGAUUGAAUGAGCCGAUGUCGGAUUAGCUAGUUGGCGGGGUAAAGGCCCACCAAGGCGACGAUCCGUAGCUGGUCUGAGAGGAUGAUCAGCCACACUGGAACUGAGACACGGUCCAGACUCCUACGGGAGGCAGCAGUGGGGAAUAUUGGACAAUGGGCGCAAGCCUGAUCCAGCCAUACCGCGUGGGUGAAGAAGGCCUUCGGGUUGUAAAGCCCUUUUGUUGGGAAAGAAAAGCAGCAGGUUAAUACCCCGCUGUUCUGACGGUACCCAAAGAAUAAGCACCGGCUAACUUCGUG
Molecule: ribosomal RNA, 492 nt
Filed under: uncultured bacterium
Lineage: Bacteria
Description: partial 16S ribosomal RNA
Rfam family: Bacterial small subunit ribosomal RNA
Source: RNAcentral